This 607-nucleotide small RNA is filed under the name Rattus norvegicus (Norway rat). RNAcentral's name for it is "uncharacterized LOC108350293". Lineage: Eukaryota; Metazoa; Chordata; Mammalia; Rodentia; Muridae. The record is from RNAcentral.
UCAAGGCAAUUUUGGCUCCAGCUCACCGAAAUGGCCCUGCUGUGUGCCCUUUGCUCCAGUGCCUUCUACUCGGAUGUAUAUGAAAUAGUAAACUUGAAAAGUAGAAAGAUAUAGUUUUAGAAACAUCACAGGAUCAACGCUGAUCAUUUUGGGGGGUUUACUUGUGUUUACUUCACACACUGAAUGAUGGACCAAAUGGUGAUGGCACUCAAAGGUGUUAAAGAACAAGCAGGGGAACACUAUUAUAACUGGAAUCAUUCCUGAGUGGAGAGGGGACAGUUGGACAAGACAGGAAUUUGCUCCUUCCUGAUGGUUUCUGUCAUUGUCAGCAUGAGUUCAGAAACAUGACUGUUCCAGUAGCUGACAAAGCAGGUGAACAAAUCCCAAAGGCAAAUAUUAAAUCCUAAAAAUUCGUGGAAAAGGCAAGAGCAGUAUUGGAAAACAGGUAAUGAAACAUGACAGAAGGAAGGACCUGACACCACUGAGACUUGGAGCAACAUUGCAGGGUCUAUUGUUGGAGAGGCACUGGGACUCGUUCUGAUUAAUUCCUCAGUGCAUCGUUGGACAUCUGUUAGCAUAACCCAUUAUUGCUACAGCACCAAAUCUA